AACCCAUGAUGGAGACACCUUCUCAACAAAUCAUUGAAUCUCGCCCAUGUAUCAUAGAGAGUCACAACAUCAAACUAAACAAAAGAACAAAUGUCAUUCCUCAACUU
Gossypium hirsutum (cotton) is the source of this 107-nucleotide non-coding RNA. Lineage: Eukaryota; Viridiplantae; Streptophyta; Magnoliopsida; Malvales; Malvaceae. The record is from Rfam.